Fundulus heteroclitus (mummichog) is the source of this 488-nucleotide long non-coding RNA. RefSeq lists it as uncharacterized. The record is from RefSeq and is a predicted model, not a curated record. Lineage: Eukaryota; Metazoa; Chordata; Actinopteri; Cyprinodontiformes; Fundulidae. The transcript is spliced from 2 exons.
GUGAAGGAGGAGACUGAUAGCAGCUUUCCAUUAACUGCUGCUCCUAUCAAGUAUGUUGCUCAGAAGCGGAUUGUUAAAGAAGAAGAUUCUUUAGACCAAAGACCUCGUGCCGACCUUAAUCAGCCAAGUCCCCCUCACUUAAAGGAGGAAGAGAAGGGAGUCUACAUCAGUCUGCCAGGAGAGGAGCUCAAUGGGAAGGAGGUGAUUAAUGCCAUCAGGUUUCCAGUUGCUGCUCCAAUAAAGACUCUGGAUGAAGAGUCUCUGCUGCUCUCACAGCUUCAUCCAGACCAACUUAAAGGCAGAGAGCUUCCAGAGGAGAAAGAUGGAGAAGAAUCCGUCAAGAUACAAGAUCAUGGAGAUGCUUCCAUUUCUUUAGAGUCUGAGAAGGAUGAAGAGGACAGUGAUGUAGAACACAGUCUCUCAGAACUGAAAUGCUCGUCAGACUCUGGAUAUAAGAAAUGUUCUACAGAGAAGAAAAAUGUGGACUC